CAUCCUUUAAAGAAAGCGUAACAGCUCACUGGUCUAGUUAAGCCGUCCUGCGCCGAAGAUGUACCGGGGCUUAAGCCGCCCGCCGAAGCUGAGGGUUUUAGAUAACAGUUGUCAGAUGAGAGGCGAUGCAGCAAUGCGUUGCUUUUUGUCUUUGGAGUUGAGGCACGUUCGCGUGCUGAUUGAGACGUCAGGAUGACAAGUCGUGCGCUGGCACGGCAGUGAUGGGGUCUUCGGGCUUUCAUGAUUGCUGGGUUAUUGGCAUCGUUUGUCAUCUGAUAACUGUGUCUAAAGCGGUAGCGGAGCGUUCCGUAGGCCUGCGAAGGUGUCUCGUGAGGGAUGCUGGAGGUAUCGGAAGUGCGAAUGCUGGCAUGAGUAGCGAAAAGGAGUGUGAGAGACACUCCCGCCGAAAGUCCAAGGUUUCCUCGGCCAGGUUAAUCCGCCGAGGGUAAGCCGGCCCCUAAGGCGAGGCCGAAAGGCGUAGUCGAUGGGAAUCAGGUUAAUAUUCCUGAGCCUGCUGGUGGUGACGAAUACCGGAAGUAGUCGGGUCUUAUCGGAUUGAUCCCGGCUGCCUGGGUGUUCCAGGAAAUAGCCCCAGCAUAAGACCGUACCCCAAACCGACACAGGUGGACUGGUAGAGUAUACCAAGGCGUUUGAGAGAACGAUGUUGAAGGAACUCGGCAAAAUG
Molecule: ribosomal RNA, 685 nt
Filed under: Schmidingerella taraikaensis
Lineage: Eukaryota; Ciliophora; Spirotrichea; Tintinnida; Rhabdonellidae
Description: partial Bacterial large subunit ribosomal RNA
Rfam family: Bacterial large subunit ribosomal RNA
Source: RNAcentral